GGGUACUUCGAGGAGGCUUUCUCUUUCUUGUCGCUCAUGGGUGACUCAAGUGAAUUCGGUGAGACGUGCGUCCGGGACGCGCGGUGUGUC
This 90-nucleotide transfer RNA is filed under the name Candidatus Burkholderia verschuerenii. RNAcentral describes it as "tRNA-Met". Lineage: Bacteria; Pseudomonadati; Pseudomonadota; Betaproteobacteria; Burkholderiales; Burkholderiaceae. The record is from RNAcentral.